RNAcentral lists this transfer RNA (71 nucleotides) under Marmota marmota marmota (Alpine marmot). It matches the Rfam family "tRNA". Rfam says of the family: Transfer RNA (tRNA) molecules are approximately 80 nucleotides in length. Their secondary structure includes four short double-helical elements and three loops (D, anti-codon, and T loops). Lineage: Eukaryota; Metazoa; Chordata; Mammalia; Rodentia; Sciuridae. The record is from Rfam by way of RNAcentral. RNAcentral also lists the same sequence under 3 other names.
GCGGUUAUAGCUCAGUGGUAAAGUUCUUGCCUAGCUCACAUGAGGCCCUGGGUUUAAUCCCCAGAACUGCA